This 799-nucleotide ribosomal RNA is filed under the name uncultured Glomus. RNAcentral describes it as "SSU rRNA". It matches the Rfam family "Eukaryotic small subunit ribosomal RNA", at positions 314 to 1114 of the family's 1831-position model. The record is from RNAcentral. Lineage: Eukaryota; Fungi; Glomeromycota; Glomeromycetes; Glomerales; Glomeraceae.
AUCAACUUUCGAUUGGUAGGAUAGAGGCCUACCAUGGUUUCAACGGGUAACGGGGAAUAAGGGUUCGAUUCCGGAGAGGGAGCCUGAGAAACGGCUACCACAUCCAAGGAAGGUAGCAGGCGCGCAAAUUACCCAAUCCCGACACGGGGAGGUAGUGACAAUAAAUAACAAUACGGGGUUCUUUCGGAUCUCGUAAUUGGAAUGAGUACAAUUUAAAUCUCUUAACGAGGAACAAUUGGAGGGCAAGUCUGGUGCCAGCAGCCGCGGUAAUUCCAGCUCCAAUAGCGUAUAUUAAAGUUGUUGCAGUUAAAAAGCUCGUAGUUGAAUUUCGGGAUCAAUAUGUUGGUCGUGCCUUGGUACGUACUGGCGUCAUUGGUUUCUACCUUCUGAAGAACCUCGAUGUCAUUAAUUUGGUGUCUUGGGGAAUCAGGACUGUUACUUUGAAAAAAUUAGAGUGUUUAAAGCAGGCUCACGCUUGAAUACAUUAGCAUGGAAUAAUGAAAUAGGACGUUUGAUUCUAUUUUGUUGGUUUCUAGGAUCGACGUAAUGAUUAAUAGGGAUAGUUGGGGGCAUUAGUAUUCAAUUGUCAGAGGUGAAAUUCUUGGAUUUAUUGAAGACUAACUACUGCGAAAGCAUUUGCCAAGGAUGUUUUCAUUAAUCAAGAACGAAAGUUAGGGGAUCGAAGACGAUCAGAUACCGUCGUAGUCUUAACCAUAAACUAUGCCGACUAGGGAUCGGAUGAUGUUAAUUUUUUAAUGACUCAUUCGGCGCCUUACGGGAAACCAAAGUGUUUGGGUUC